RNAcentral lists this ribosomal RNA (292 nucleotides) under uncultured microorganism. RNAcentral's name for it is "partial 16S ribosomal RNA". It matches the Rfam family "Bacterial small subunit ribosomal RNA", at positions 505 to 796 of the family's 1533-position model. The record is from RNAcentral.
GUGCCAGCAGCCGCGGUAAUACGUAGGGUGCGAGCGUUAUCCGGCCAGCAGCCGCGGUAAUAGCUCGUAGGCGGUUUGUCGCGUCUGUCGUGAAAGUCCGGGGCUUAACCCCGGAUCUGCGGUGGGUACGGGCAGACUAGAGUGCAGUAGGGGAGACUGGAAUUCCUGGUGUAGCGGUGGAAUGCGCAGAUAUCAGGAGGAACACCGAUGGCGAAGGCAGGUCUCUGGGCUGUAACUGACGCUGAGGAGCGAAAGCAUGGGGAGCGAACAGGAUUAGAUACCCUGGUAGUCC